ACUGAUAGAGGUUGCGGAGUUUAAGAGUAUUCGUUCGGAUGUGGCAGGCACAGGGGAAGAACGGGGAAAGGAGACUCCGCCGAAGAGCAGAGGGCGCUGUGUUUCUGACUCUGGGGGUGCGCGGAAUACGCGUAUCACUGUCAUCCGUUGGAUGGGGAGCUAUCUGG
This 167-nucleotide non-coding RNA is filed under the name chicken gut metagenome. Its description in RNAcentral is "Lysine riboswitch". It matches the Rfam family "Lysine riboswitch aptamer". From Rfam's summary of the family: Riboswitches are metabolite binding domains within certain messenger RNAs that serve as precision sensors for their corresponding targets. Allosteric rearrangement of mRNA structure is mediated by ligand binding, and this results in modulation of gene expression. The record is from RNAcentral.